Molecule: ribosomal RNA, 391 nt
Filed under: uncultured bacterium
Lineage: Bacteria
Description: bacterial SSU rRNA
Rfam family: Bacterial small subunit ribosomal RNA
Source: RNAcentral
GACGAACGCUGGCGGCGUGCUUAACACAUGCAAGUCGAGCGGUAAGGCCCUUUCGGGGUACGACGAGCGGCGAACGGGUGAGUAACACGUGGGUGACCUGCCCUCAGCUCUGGGAGUAAGACCUGGGAAACCGGGUACUAAUACCGGAUAUGACUCCAUGACGCAUGUUGUGGGGUGGAAAGCCUUGUGCGGCUGAGGAUGGGCCCGCGGCCUAUCAGCUUGUUGGUGGGGUGAUGGCCUACCAAGGCGACGACGGGUAGCCGGCCUGAGAGGGCGACCGGCCACACUGGGACUGAGACACGGCCCAGACUCCUACGGGAGGCAGCAGUGGGGAAUCUUGCGCAAUGGGCGAAAGCCUGACGCAGCGACGCCGCGUGAGGGAUGACGGCCU